CCCACCAGGAGCGGCUCCACCCCGGCCCCAGGCCGAGAGAGCGCGCGGCCGCAGCGGGAAGCCAAACAAGAAAGGGCCCCUGCUCCCGCCGGAGCGGGAGUCGUGGGACGGUCAGGGUGUCCUUAGGAAAGGUUUUGCAGCUCUCCAGGAGUGCUCUUGGCCAGGAACGGGAGCUGACAGGCGUCUUGGAAGGACGAAGGACCCGUCACGACCGUUGGAAAGCUGCCUGUGAAGAGAGGAGCUACCAUGACAUGAGCAGGCUGGGCAGCUAGGUCCUGAGCAACCGUUUAAGAAGCCUAGAAGAGAUCUGGGGAAGGCCUCUAGGAGCUGAGCGUGACCAUACUCACAGCCAGCAAGGAAGGAAGCCUUUGUCCUACAACCUAGGAGGAUUGGAUAUGGCCAACAACCAGAAUGAGCUUGGAAGAGGACUCUGGGUAUCAGAUUAGAGCACAGCCCCAGCUAGAAAUAAGGCCUUGAUUCUAGCCUUCUGAGACCCUGAUCCAAGCACCCAGUUGUCCUGUUCCUUGACUUAGUGGACUGUGAGACAAUAAAUGUGACUUAUUUUAAGCUGUGAA
Dipodomys spectabilis (banner-tailed kangaroo rat) is the source of this 575-nucleotide long non-coding RNA. RefSeq lists it as uncharacterized. The record is from RefSeq and is a predicted model, not a curated record. The transcript has 2 exons. Lineage: Eukaryota; Metazoa; Chordata; Mammalia; Rodentia; Heteromyidae.